Molecule: ribosomal RNA, 454 nt
Filed under: uncultured bacterium
Lineage: Bacteria
Description: bacterial SSU rRNA
Rfam family: Bacterial small subunit ribosomal RNA
Source: RNAcentral
UACGGGAGGCAGCAGUGGGGAAUAUUGCACAAUGGGCGCAAGCCUGAUGCAGCCAUGCCGCGUGUAUGAAAAAGGCCUUCGGGUUGUAAAGUACUUUCAGUCGUGAGGAAGGUGUUAAGGUUAAUAACCUUAGCAAUUGACGUUAGCGACAGAAGAAGCACCGGCUAACUCCGUGCCAGCAGCCGUGGUAAUACGGAGGGUGCGAGCGUUAAUCGGAAUUACUGGGCGUAAAGGGCACGCAGGCGGUUAAUUAAGUUGGAUGUGAAAUCCCCGGGCUUAACCUGGGAAUGGCAUUCAAGACUGGUUAGCUAGAGUCUUGUAGAGGGGGGUAGAAUUCCAUGUGUAGCGGUGAAAUGCGUAGAGAUGUGGAGGAAUACCGGUGGCGAAGGCGGCCCCUGGACAAAGACUGACGCUCAUGUGCGAAAGCGUGGGGAGCAAACAGGGAUUAGAUACC